AUACGUACCGUACGAACGUUAUUCGGAAUCACUGGGCUUAAAGAGUUCGUAGGCGGCUAUGUAGGUGAGGUGUGAAAUCCCACGGCUCAACCGUGGAAUUGCGCUUCAAACCACAUGGCUUGAGGGAGAUAGAGGAAAGCGGAACAGAUGGUGGAGCGGUGAAAUGCGUUGAUAUCAUCUGGAACACCGGUGGCGAAGGCGGCUUUCUGGGUCUCUUCUGACGCUGAGGAACGAAAGCUAGGGUAGCGAACGGGAUUAGAAACCCCAGUAGUCC
This 274-nucleotide ribosomal RNA is filed under the name uncultured bacterium. Its description in RNAcentral is "partial 16S ribosomal RNA". It matches the Rfam family "Bacterial small subunit ribosomal RNA", at positions 523 to 796 of the family's 1533-position model. The record is from RNAcentral.